CGAACGAGCAUUUUUUUUCGGAAUGAUAUGCUGAGUGGCGGACGGGUGAGUAACGCGUGGGUACCUGCCUCACACAGGGGGAUAGCAGUUGGAAACGACUGGUAAUACCGCAUAAGUUCGCAUGAAAAAAACUCCGGUGGUGUGAGAUGGACCCGCGUCUGAUUAGGUAGUUGGUGAGGUAACGGCCCACCAAGCCGACGAUCAGUAGCCGACCUGAGAGGGUGACCGGCCACAUUGGGACUGAGACACGGCCCAGACUCCUACGGGAGGCAGCAGUGGGGAAUAUUGCACAAUGGAGGAAACUCUGAUGCAGCGACGCCGCGUGAGUGAAGAAGUAUUUCGGUAUGUAAAGCUCUAUCAGCAGGGAAGACAGUGACGGUACCUGACUAAGAAGCUCCGGCUAAAUACGUGCCAGCAGCCGCGGUAAUACGUAUGGAGCAAGCGUUAUCCGGAUUUACUGGGUGUAAAGGGAGUGUAGGUGGUAUCACAAGUCAGAAGUGAAAGCCCGGGGCUCAACCCCGGGACUGCUUUUGAAACUGUGGAACUGGAGUGCAGGAGAGGUAAGUGGAAUUC
This 573-nucleotide ribosomal RNA is filed under the name uncultured bacterium. RNAcentral describes it as "bacterial SSU rRNA". It matches the Rfam family "Bacterial small subunit ribosomal RNA", at positions 63 to 669 of the family's 1533-position model. The record is from RNAcentral.